Molecule: small nuclear RNA, 20 nt
Filed under: Arabidopsis thaliana (thale cress)
Lineage: Eukaryota; Viridiplantae; Streptophyta; Magnoliopsida; Brassicales; Brassicaceae
Description: snRNA_05632
Source: RNAcentral
CAACAAGCAGCCUAACCGUA